GGACUGAUGUCUGUACGCCGAGACUCACUCUUGGCCUUUUGCGAAGUGAUCCGCUGUUAGUCUCGGCGAGCCGUAACAAAGAAUGUGAAUAAACCCGAAGCUAUGUCGUUUCCUGCCUCUUUUUAGUAGUUAAUCUGAAAUGUGAAAAAACCGGAAGUUUUGUGGUCCCUAGCCUCGUUCUAGCAGUUAAGUGAAAAGGAAAAAAAAAAAAAAUCGUCUGCCUGCUGUCCAUGCCCUCACUGCUACGGUAGUAAAAUGGCAGACAGUGCCUCUUUGAUAACAUGUGUAUCACGCUAUUGACGUAUUAGUUCGUGAUCACACGACUUUACUUUAAAGAACAUUUUCGAAAAAGCCGCUGACAAGACACGCCCCAUAUAGAUGCAGCAGGACUGAGGUCCACUUAUUCGUGUUUUCAGUUAAUAAAAUGUUCACGAGUUUCCAAAAGCACUUGUACGGAUUCAGCCUUUUUAAGUCUGUUUCUUCAUAUUCUGGCAAGCUGUUCUGGUUCAUUACCUCGUUGGCCUCCAUCGUCAGAAAACGCCAGAAUAAAUGUCGCUCUUGCUGCUUGACCUGAAAACCUGCCACAAUUUUAUUGUGAAUUGUUCUUUCAAAACACCCCACACCAGUAAUGACAGUAAUGCCGCGUCAACAGCUUGCGCCUGCAGUCGGACUGUAAAGUUUAAUCUUCAGCAGAGUAAAGGUGUGUUAAGCAUCGAAGGACACGUUACAGAACCAUUCCAAAUUGACUGGGAAGUCGUUCAUCAACCAGAUGACCUUCCAUCCAAAAAUGAUUGUUGCCAGGAAGACGCUUGCCGAAAACCUGAAGAUAUCCCUUCAGACCGUUUACACAGAUUGUGCCCUCACCGAAAGGAAACAGUAAAGAAAACUGAAAUGUCUUCACCUGAUGAUGGAAAUCCUGAAAAAGUUGUCGGUUUACCACAUGAGAAAAAGCCCAUUAACACACCCCCACAUGUUUUGUCGUGGGUGGAUGCUGCUAAUCCCAGCAGUUCCAGCGACAGCAACAGCAACAUCAGUAGUAAUAGCCUAGAAAACAGAGAUCUUCAAAUAGAUGCACAGCCAUCAGAAUUCGAUAGUGAAUCUGAUCGGUUUUCCACAUCGAGUUGUUCGUCUAAGGCUUCUGAUUCUUGGUCACAAUCUACUGGAUUUGAAAGCCUCAAAUCGCAUAACCAAAAAUUGGAUGCAGUUAUAUAUCAUGCAGAGGAAGAUCUUGGUACAGCUUCGGAGAUGUUAAAAAUGAUCAAAAGUAUACUGAAGAAGAACAAGAAAUUCCUGAGUAUCGAUAUAUGGGGAAAUUUUUCAAAUUCGACCUACUGUGGUGAUCUUGAAAAUCUGUGUUCAAAAUCCCGCCGGAUUGUACUUUUUGUGACAAAAUCGUUUGAACAAAAUACAAAGACAGUAAAUGGCAUUGAAUAUCUCUAUAUGAAUUGUAAAGAUCUUGAUUUAAAAUUAACUUGUAUUAAGUGUGGAUAUGGCGCAGAGGACAAGCCGAGCUUAAAGAUUUGGCAGAACUUGCCUGAUUUUAUUGCGUAUGAAAAUAGCGAAUGUUUCAAACAAGCCAUUCGAGGGAUUUUUGGAAUUUCGCAGCAAAGAUGUAGCACAGAUCGCAAAAAAUCUAACGCUCGUGCUUCCCAGAAAGGAACAAAAGAGUUACCCAGACAGCCUCCUGGAAGUCUUACUGCAAAGAAAGACACUACCUUUCAAACGUCACUCGGCAGCAAUGGGAAUGAAUACAACCCUCCGAACUGUGAAGAAGAGCCUAACUCAGCGCUCCUGACCGCUGACAGUAACCGCUCUGCUUCAGAGUCUGCACCCACUGCCUCCUUACCUUGUGUAAGUGAAAGAGAUUUUCCAAAGAGCGGUGACUCUUCCUCGUGUAUCUCGGUGGCUCACUCUCAAAAGGACGACUAUGUCACUGAAAGAGAUCAAGCUGAUUUCAAGACAAAUAAAGUCAAUGAAAAGAAAACUGAAAACGAGUCGAAGACAGCAAUAAAGUCACAAGAAACUGGAGAGGCCUUAGAGAAAGCGUCAUCAAAAAAUUACUCUUAUUUGAAAAUCCCAGCAUCGGAAUGUGAAGACGAAUUGUCCUCUGAUGUGGUCCCUGACAGCAGCACUGAACCACAUUCUUUACUUGUUAACACCCAAUAUUCGUCUUCUUCUAGUAACGCCCAUCAAGACCCUUUUGGGACAAGUGAAAACAAUGUGUCAUUGGAUGCGGUCGUAGACAGCAGUAAUGACCAGCUAUCUCCGCCACUUGACUCCUAUCCCUCUGCUACUUCUCGGCCUGCCCAACCAGACUUUGCUGGGGCCAGCGAAAAUUCCUCGCCGCUUGAAGGGGUCAUUGAUAGCGAGAAUUACCAGCUUCCUCUGCCGCUAGACAACCAGCCCUUAGAUUCAACUGGAAGUGUAUACUUUGUACAGGCAAUGCAUACAGACCAACGUGUACAUUUAAUGGGACAUGAGUAUCUUUGGCCUAAAGAAUCUCUUGCCAUUGCUUCUAAAUUACAUGUUGCGACGCCUGGUGAGAAGCCCUCAAGUCUGUCUCAGACCAACCAAUCUGCUGGAGCAGCUUCCAGAAAAUUAGCAGUUGGUCAUUCCACUGAGAAACAUAGUGGCUUAAAUUUACUACCACUAACAUUUCCGCCGAAUAGAUGUAAUAUUCGGGAAACAAUGCUGUCUAAGACUGAAAUGUUAAUUUCUCCUUCGGAUCAUAACCUAACCACUUCUUCUGAUUUCAACUCGAAGUCUUUCUUUUCAGAGUCAGACCACUAUGAGGAGAGGGAUUUUCAGUCUUCCAUUAGUGACAUCGUGGACGAAAAGAUUUUUGAUGCAAAAGAGUUUGAUAAUAAAGAAAAAGAUGACGACGAAGUAUAAAUCUUUAUCUUUUAAAUUAACUGGCUUGUUGGCCAACAUUACAGAUACUGUUGAGUUAAUUUAAUCAUCACAUUGUAGCAUCCUUGUCGUAAUGUUGGGGAGGGUUAGUGAUUGUUGUAUUUUUCUAGUGUAUCCUCAGCAAAAAUUAAUAGUGAUAGUAUUUCCACUUUCGAGAAUUCACACCCAUACAAUUUUAUUUUAAAUGACUUUUGUACUUCUCAUGAGCACUGUUCUCAGAAGUCUGGCAAAAUUUACAACCAGUAAUACCACCAGCUUGGUGAAAGAAUAACAGUAGCACAUUUCCACAUUCAAACCUUUUCUGAAAUAUGCUGUUCCUUAUACAAGAACUGUUUGUGAGCUAUACAAUGCAUUGUCUAGCUGGCGACAGUUCACAAGUUCAGAAUUUAGACUUUUCAGUCCUCCAAGUCAUUCAGCAUAGAGCCUUUUUUCUUUGGUUCUAGUGAAGACCCCCAAGACCCAGACUUUCAGCGCCUUCUAUAAAGGAUUCUUGCACCUCGAGGACAGGAACUCAAAAUGUACUGAACCUGUUCGUUUGCUCAGAGACUAGCGAAAGAUACACGACUGCCUUGAUGCUGUGUUGAACAAAGUAGCAGGAGACUGCAAGAUGCAAAGGAAAGGUGAUACAA
Molecule: unclassified non-coding RNA, 3539 nt
Filed under: Pomacea canaliculata
Lineage: Eukaryota; Metazoa; Mollusca; Gastropoda; Architaenioglossa; Ampullariidae
Description: uncharacterized LOC112559127, transcript variant X2
Source: RNAcentral